UACGUAGGGUGCAAGCGUUAAUCGGAAUUACUGGACGUAAAGCGUGCGCAGGCGGUUUUGUAAGUCUGUCGUGAAAUCCCCGGGCUUAACCUGGGAAUGGCGAUGGAGACUGCAAGGCUAGAGUUUGGCAGAGGGGGGUAGAAUUCCACGUGUAGCAGUGAAAUGCGUAGAGAUGUGGAGGAACACCGAUGGCGAAGGCAGCCCCCUGGGUCAAAACUGACGCUCAUGCACGAAAGCGUGGGGAGCAAACAGG
This 253-nucleotide ribosomal RNA is filed under the name uncultured bacterium. RNAcentral describes it as "partial 16S ribosomal RNA". It matches the Rfam family "Bacterial small subunit ribosomal RNA", at positions 524 to 776 of the family's 1533-position model. The record is from RNAcentral.